RNAcentral lists this ribosomal RNA (440 nucleotides) under uncultured bacterium. RNAcentral describes it as "bacterial SSU rRNA". It matches the Rfam family "Bacterial small subunit ribosomal RNA", at positions 339 to 796 of the family's 1533-position model. The record is from RNAcentral.
UUACGGAAGGCAGCAGUGGGGAAUAUUGGACAAUGGGGGCAACCCUGAUCCAGCAAUGCCGCGUGAGUGAUGAAGGCCUUAGGGUUGUAAAGCUCUUUCGGCGGGGACGAUGAUGACGGUACCCGCAGAAGAAGCCCCGGCUAACUUCGUGCCAGCAGCCGCGGUAAUACGAAGGGGGCGAGCGUUGUUCGGAAUCACUGGGCGUAAAGGGCGCGCAGGCGGUCCAUCAAGUCAGGCGUGAAAGCCCCGGGCUCAACCCGGGAAUUGCGCUUGAGACUGGUGGACUUGAGGACGGGAGAGGAGAGUGGAAUUCCCAGUGUAGAGGUGAAAUUCGUAGAUAUUGGGAAGAACACCAAUGGCGAAGGCAGCUCUCUGGACCGUUACUGACGCUGAGGCGCGAAAGCGUGGGGAGCAAACAGGAUUAGAUACCCGUGUAGUCC